CCUACGGGGCGCAGCAGUGGGGAAUAUUGCACAAUGGAGGGAACUCUGAUGCAGCGACGCCGCGUGAGUGAAGAAGUAAUUCGUUAUGUAAAGCUCUAUCAGCAGGGAAGAAAGUGACGGUACCUGAAAAAGAAGCUCCGGCUAACUACGUGCCAGCAGCCGCGGUAAUACGUAGGGGGCAAGCGUUAUCCGGAUUUACUGGGUGUAAAGGGAGCGUAGACGGCGUGCCAAGUCUGAUGUGAAAGGCCGGGGCUCAACCCCGGGACUGCAUUGGAAACUGGCAUGCUGGAGUGCCGGAGGGGCAA
RNAcentral lists this ribosomal RNA (305 nucleotides) under uncultured bacterium. Its description in RNAcentral is "bacterial SSU rRNA". It matches the Rfam family "Bacterial small subunit ribosomal RNA", at positions 338 to 660 of the family's 1533-position model. The record is from RNAcentral.